This 1372-nucleotide ribosomal RNA is filed under the name Shigella sonnei. RNAcentral's name for it is "partial 23S ribosomal RNA". It matches the Rfam family "Bacterial large subunit ribosomal RNA", at positions 1314 to 2669 of the family's 2925-position model. The record is from RNAcentral. Lineage: Bacteria; Pseudomonadati; Pseudomonadota; Gammaproteobacteria; Enterobacterales; Enterobacteriaceae.
AAAGCGGGUGAAAAGCCCGCUCGCCGGAAGACCAAGGGUUCCUGUUCAACGUUAAUCGGAGCAGGGUGAGUCGACCCCUAAGGCGAGGCUGAAAAGCGUAGUCGAUGGGAAACGGGUUAAUAUUCCCGUACUUGUGGUAACUGCGAAGGGGGGACGGAGAAAGUUAGGCUAUCCGGGCGACGGUUGUCCCGGUUUAAGCGUGAAGGUGGAGAGACUAGGCAAAUCCGGUCUUUCAUUAACACUGAGGCGUGAUGACGAAGCACUACGGUGCUGAAGUAGCUGAUACUACGCUUCCAGGAAAAGCCUCUAAGCAUCAGGUUACCAGAAAUCGUACCCCAAACCGACACAGGUGGUCAGGUAGAGAAUACUCAGGCGCUUGAGAGAACUCGGGUGAAGGAACUAGGCAAAAUGGUGCCGUAACUUCGGGAGAAGGCACGCUGAUGGUAGGUGAAGUCCCUUGCGGAUGGAGCUGAACUCAGUCGAAGAUACCAGCUGGCUGCAACUGUUUAUUAAAAACACAGCACUGUGCAAACACGAAAGUGGACGUAUACGGUGUGACGCCUGCCCGGUGCCGGAAGGUUAAUUGAUGGGGUUAGCGAAAGCGAAGCUCUUGAUCGAAGCCCCGGUAAACGGCGGCCGUAACUAUAACGGUCCUAAGGUAGCGAAAUUCCUUGUCGGGUAAGUUCCGACCUGCACGAAUGGCGUAAUGAUGGCCAGGCUGUCUCCACCCGAGACUCAGUGAAAUUGAAAUCGCUGUGAAGAUGCAGUGUACCCGCGGCAAGACGGAAAGACCCCGUGAACCUUUACUAUAGCUUGACACUGAACAUUGAGCCUUGAUGUGUAGGAUAGGUGGGAGGCAUUGAAACGUGAACGCCAGUUUGCGUGGAGCCGACCUUGAAAUACCACCCUUUAAUGUUUGAUGUUCUAACGUUGUCCCGUAAUCCGGGAUACGGACAGUGUCUGGUGGGUAGUUUGACUGGGGCGGUCUCCUCCUAAAGAGUAACGGAGGAGCACGAAGGUUAGCUAAGCAUGGUCGGACAUCAUGCGGUUAGUGCAAAGGCAGAAGCUAGCUUAACUGCGAGACGGACAGGUCGAGCAGAUACGAAAGUAGGUCUUAGUGAUCCGGUGGUUCUGAAUGGAAGGGCCAUCGCUCAACGGAUAAAAGGUACUCCGGGGAUAACAGGCUGAUACCGCCCAAGAGUUCAUAUCGACGGCGGUGUUUGGCACCUCGAUGUCGGCUCAUCACAUCCUGGGGCUGAAGUUGGUCCCAAGGGUAUGGCUGUUCGCCAUUUAAAGUGGUACGCGAGCUGGGUUUAGAACGUCGUGAGACAGUUCGGUCCCUAUCUGUCGUGGGCGUUGGAUGAUUGAGGGG